RNAcentral lists this transfer RNA (72 nucleotides) under Capra hircus (goat). It matches the Rfam family "tRNA". Rfam says of the family: Transfer RNA (tRNA) molecules are approximately 80 nucleotides in length. Their secondary structure includes four short double-helical elements and three loops (D, anti-codon, and T loops). The record is from Rfam by way of RNAcentral. Lineage: Eukaryota; Metazoa; Chordata; Mammalia; Artiodactyla; Bovidae. RNAcentral also lists the same sequence under 1 other name.
UCCCUUGUGGCUCAGCUGGUAAAGAAUCUGCCUGCAAUGCAGGAAACCUGGGUUCGAUCCCUGGUUUGGGAU